UCGGGUGGCACGCCGAACCCUGCCCCCACCCGAUGAGAAUCAAACCUGCGGCAGGGACGGGGGAACCAAUUCCGGGCGCCGAAGUCGGGCGUCCUAGGGGUGAAGCCGAGAACCGCGGCCGGGCAUUCCCAGCCCGAACCCGACAGCUCACCUCGCAGGCGUGGGGAAGGGCAACU
RNAcentral lists this small RNA (176 nucleotides) under Frankia alni. RNAcentral describes it as "c-di-AMP sequence". It matches the Rfam family "c-di-AMP riboswitch aptamer (ydaO/yuaA leader)". Rfam says of the family: This family represents a conserved RNA structure found upstream of the ydaO and yuaA genes in Bacillus subtilis and related genes in other bacteria. The ydaO/yuaA element is thought to act as a genetic "off" switch for the ydaO and yuaA genes in its native state. It is believed that the element may be triggered during osmotic shock leading to activation of ydaO, a predicted amino acid transporter gene, and members of the yuaA-yubG operon which code for KtrA and KtrB K+ transporters. RNAcentral also lists the same sequence under 1 other name. The record is from RNAcentral. Lineage: Bacteria; Bacillati; Actinomycetota; Actinomycetes; Frankiales; Frankiaceae.